CUGUGCGGUGCCGGGAGGGCGGCUGGGCAGGCUGCAGGAUGCUGCGCGCCGCCCUGUCCCUGCUCGCGCUGCCCCUGGCGGGGGCGGCCGAAGAACCCACCCAGAAGCCAGAGUCCCCGGGCGAGCCUCCCCCAGGCUUAGAGCUCUUCCGCUGGCAGUGGCACGAGGUCGAGGCGCCCUACCUGGUGGCCCUGUGGAUCCUGGUGGCCAGCCUGGCCAAAAUAGUGUUUCACCUGUCUCGGAAGGUAACAUCUCUGGUCCCUGAGAGCUGCCUGCUGAUUUUGCUGGGCCUGGUGCUAGGGGGCAUUGUUUUGGCUGUGGCCAAGAAAGCUGAGUACCAGCUGGAGCCAGGCACCUUCUUCCUCUUCCUGCUGCCUCCUAUUGUGUUGGACUCAGGCUAUUUCAUGCCUAGCAGGCUGUUCUUUGACAACUUGGGUGCCAUCCUCACCUAUGCCGUGGUAGGCACACUCUGGAAUGCCUUCACAACAGGUGCUGCCCUCUGGGGCUUGCAGCAGGCUGGACUUGUAGCCCCUAGGGUGCAGGCUGGCUUACUGGACUUCCUGCUGUUUGGGAGCCUCAUCUCGGCGGUGGACCCUGUGGCCGUGCUAGCUGUCUUUGAGGAGGUGCACGUCAAUGAGACUCUCUUUAUCAUCGUCUUUGGCGAGUCCCUGCUCAAUGAUGCUGUCACCGUGGUGCUGUACAAGGUCUGCAACUCCUUUGUGGAGAUGGGCUCUGCCAAUGUGCAGGCCAUUGACUACCUGAAGGGAGUCGGUCAGUAUUUCCCCGCUCCCAGCUGGCAUUGGAGAUCUGCCUCCCCUGGGUUGCUGAGGCCCUCCCACCCCACAUCAGGACAGAAGAGGCUAUUCGGGUUGCCUCAUCUCCUCUAUAGAGAAAUGGGGUCUGGGAGGGGCUUGCCAGGGAUCCUGGCUCUGGGGUUUUGAGCCCCUGGGAGUGCGGUGGGCAUCAUCCCUCACUCCCUGCCAGGCAGCAGUCUUGUCAGCCCGGGUAGGGUCCGGGCCAGGGGUCAUGCUGACAACCCACUCCUCCCUCAGCCUCCCUGUUUGUGGUCAGUCUGGGCGGGGCAGCCGUGGGCUUAGUCUUUGCCUUCCUCCUGGCCCUGACCACACGCUUCACCAAGCGGGUCCGCAUCAUCGAGCCGCUGCUGGUCUUCCUCCUCGCCUACGCAGCCUACCUCACUGCUGAAAUGGCCUCGCUGUCCGCCAUUCUUGCGGUGACCAUGUGUGGCCUGGGCUGUAAGAAGUACGUGGAGGCCAACAUCUCCCAUAAGUCACGCACAACUGUCAAAUAUACAAUGAAGACUCUAGCCAGCUGUGCUGAGACCGUCAUCUUCAUGCUGCUUGGCAUCUCAGCCGUGGACUCUUCUAAGUGGGCCUGGGAUUCUGGGCUGGUGCUGGGCACCCUCAUCUUCAUCCUGUUCUUCCGAGCCCUCGGCGUAGUCCUGCAGACCUGGGUGCUGAAUCAGUUCCGGCUAGUCCCUCUGGACAAGAUUGACCAAGUGGUGAUGUCCUAUGGGGGCCUGCGGGGGGCUGUGGCCUUUGCUCUCGUCAUCCUACUGGAUAGGACCAAGGUCCCUGCCAAGGACUACUUUGUAGCCACCACUAUUGUAGUGGUCUUCUUCACAGUCAUCGUGCAGGGCUUGACCAUCAAGCCACUGGUCAAAUGGCUGAAGGUGAAGAGGAGUGAGCAUCACAAACCCACUCUGAACCAGGAGCUGCAUGAACACACUUUUGACCACAUUCUGGCUGCAGUGGAGGACGUUGUGGGGCACCAUGGCUACCACUACUGGAGGGACAGGUGGGAGCAGUUUGACAAGAAAUACCUGAGUCAGCUGCUGAUGCGACGAUCAGCCUACCGCAUCCGGGACCAGAUCUGGGAUGUGUACUACAGGCUUAACAUCCGGGAUGCCAUCAGCUUUGUGGACCAGGGAGGCCACGUCUUGUCUUCCACAGGUCUCACUCUGCCUUCUAUGCCCAGCCGCAAUUCUGUGGCAGAAACUUCUGUCACCAACCUGCUGAGGGAGAGUGGCAGUGGAGCGUGUCUGGAUCUGCAGGUGAUUGACACAGUACGCAGUGGCCGGGAUCGUGAGGACGCUGUGAUGCAUCAUCUGCUCUGCGGAGGCCUCUACAAGCCGCGCCGUAGGUACAAAGCCAGCUGCAGUCGCCACUUCAUCUCAGAGGAUGCGCAGGAGCGGCAGGACAAGGAGGUCUUCCAGCAGAACAUGAAGCGGCGGCUGGAGUCCUUUAAGUCCACCAAGCACAACAUCUGCUUUACCAAGAGCAAGCCACGACCCCGCAAGACUGGCCGCAGGAAGAAGGAUGGUGUGGCGAAUGCUGAGGCUACAAAUGGGAAACAUCGAGACCUGGGCUUUCGGGACACAGCUGCUGUGAUAUUAACCGUGGAGUCUGAGGAGGAGGAGGAGGAGAGCGACAGUUCAGAGACAGAGAAGGAGGACGAUGAGGGGAUCAUCUUUGUGGCUCGGGCCACCAGUGAGGUUCUCCAAGAGGGCAAGGUCUCAGGAAGCCUUGAGGUGUGCCCAAGCCCACGAAUCAUUCCCCCCUCCCCAACCUGUGCAGAGAAGGAGCUCCCCUGGAAGAGUGGGCAGGGGGACCUGGCAGUGUACGUGUCCUCGGAAACCACCAAGAUUGUGCCUGUGGACAUGCAGACGGGUUGGAACCAGAGCAUCUCAUCCCUGGAGAGCCUAGCGUCCCCUCCCUGUAACCAGGCCCCAAUUCUGACUUGCCUGCCUCCCCAUCCACGGGGUGCUGAAGAGCCCCAGGUCCCUCUCCACCUGCCUUCUGAUCCACGCCCUAGCUUCGCCUUCCCACCGAGCCUGGCCAAGGCUGGCCGCUCUCGCAGUGAGAGCAGCGCUGACCUCCCCCAGCAGCAGGAGCUGCAGCCCCUCAUGGGCCACAAGGACCACACCCAUCUCAGCCCAGGCACCGCUACCUCCCACUGGUGCAUCCAGUUCAACAGAGGCAGCCGGCUGUAGCUCAGGGUCUCCGGGAGGAGCAGGAGGUGGAAUCCCUGUGGGAAAUGCUCCCUGGGCGAUGGGUAGAGCCCUCGAAACGACAUGGGGCCAGAGGGGCCUGAGUUGAAGUAGUAAUUGGGCUUCCUUGGGGCUGGUCAGAGGGGUCACCUAAGCUGGUCCUCACAGGGGCCUUUCUCACCACCUCCCUGCUCCUAAGCCCUGCCACUUUCUGUUUCAUUAAGGCCUCUACUCUGGCUCAGGACCCAGUCCAGGCCUUCUACGGGCUAGGCCCAGAGACUUGGGUUGCUGGUCCCCCUUCCCUAGUGGGUUUUCCCAGGGACUCUAUAGGCAGCUGCUCCUGCCACCAAAGCAAGGGCAUCAUUCCUAUUCUUCAGUGGAUGCCAGCCUUCCCUGCCCCCACUCCCUCCCCAGCACUGGGUCAGUGGUGUCCUGGCAGUGAGGCUCCGUAAGGGGCUGGCCCUUAGAGGAACUGGGGUGGGAGGUGGGGCAGGCCUCACCCUUGGGCUUUGCUGCCCUGUUGGGUCAGCUACCCAUAGUCCAUAUUUUUAGGGCAGUGGGAACCUCUGCCUCCACUUCCUGCUUUAGCCCCUUCCCUUGCUGCCAGGUAUUGGGGUAAUAGUUCCUCCUUUUCCAAGACCAAGGCCAAGAGGCUGGGCCAGGCUUCAGUUCAGGCCUGUUGCUUAAAUGGGGUCACCCUGGGAUCUGCUGCUCUGGGUCUAAGUCUAGACCUUUCUGAUCCUUGGGUCUGGGUUUUUUGAGGAGGGGACAUAGUGGCCUCUGGGCUGCCAUGUCACCACCUGAACAUUCCCCAAACAGAGAAGGAACCCAGCAUCUCAGGGCCACUGCUCCAUUGCUCUGGGGGCUGGGAUGCCUGGCUAAGCAGGGGCUGACAGGGUGGCAGGUGACUUUCUAGGGGUCAGCACCUGCUUUGUGUUUUGUACCUUGAACCUAAGAUACAUUAAACAUCUCUCAGAUGG
RNAcentral lists this small RNA (3987 nucleotides) under Pongo abelii (Sumatran orangutan). RNAcentral describes it as "retained intron". The record is from RNAcentral. Lineage: Eukaryota; Metazoa; Chordata; Mammalia; Primates; Hominidae.